Non-coding RNA from Equus caballus (horse), 4040 nucleotides. Lineage: Eukaryota; Metazoa; Chordata; Mammalia; Perissodactyla; Equidae. The record is from RefSeq and is a predicted model, not a curated record.
AAUCUUCGUUAAAUGAAUGAAUGAACUUUACAAGAAUAACAGAAACUCACAUUCAUACUUAUAACAUCUGUAAAUGGUGAGGUUUAGGACUAGUGAGGGAGAGAGGCUGUGAGCUCUGGCAGUGAUGGUGGGACCCAGGGCACCUCAGAGCCACGAAGACAUCCAUGCAGACUCCCGGGGGAAGGGAAGUGAGCACAGGGCAUCGGCUUCAUCUGUCCACUCACUCUGACUGUCAGCUUAGCUCCCCACUCCAGGGAGCCCACUUCCCAACACGAGGGACUAAUUUCUCCUGCCGGGAUGGGGAACGGCGUUACUUUAUAACACACCCCAGGGCUGAGGGAGGAGAGACCCAUCCUUCCUCCUGCUCCGGACUCAGGUGCCAACGUCCCCAGGCUGCCUCUUCUUCUCAUGAUCGAUUGGGAUGAGACACAGUGACCGUGGGCGCAGGGGCCCAGGAGAAGCACUUCUGCUUGCAGUCCGUUCCCUUCUGACCGUCCGAAGCCAGAGGCCAGCGAGCUCCUCAGCCUCGUGGCUGCCGCGGGGACAAGAAGUGUCCACAGGAGGCAGUUUUCAGGGACAAACAGAAGAGGAAAGGAGGGGGGGAUGGGAGGUUGUUUUUCUCAGGGGAACCAUUUUCAAAUGAGACCUCUGAGAGGAGAACCGAGAGCCAAAUGAACAAGAGACAACUUAAUUUACUUUUAAGAGGGAGAAACAUGAAAACCUGGUUUUAAAAUUAAGGGGAAACAACAACAUCUGAAAGGAGGACUCAGAGGAGGGCCAAGAGGGACGAUGUCGUCUGCAAAGCUCAGGGGGAGAAUUCUGACCUUGAGCCGUAUUACUGUCUCCUGGAGAAAUAACCUUGUAGUUUAAAAAUGGUGGGAAUAUUACUGGAAUUGGUCACUUAAAGGCAUUUACUUUCACUUAAAAUUGGGUGUAAUUUAUACAUUCAAACACACGAGUAUUUAUUGGAAACUUAUUAGGGGAAACGAAAUACUCAGUCUUCCAUCUCUUGGAGCUCGUGAGAGCCGACGAUCGGAACUGAAAUAGUCAACAAAUAGACGCAGGGUGCGUCUGGCAGCAUUAGGUCCUGAGAAGGAACAGCAGCGUAAGGGGAGCAGAGAGCACUGGGUACUGAGUGGGACGGUCCAGGAAGGCGCCGGGCGUCCCCUGGUGCCCACCUCUCCCCACCCUUCCCAGGUCACUCCCUCUUCUUUGCUCCGCUCUGUGCUCCUGGUUUCUCCGGGAUGUCCCCAGUCAUUCUUGGCUCCUGCCACUCACGCCCUCGUGUGUCUCCCCUCACGCUGACUCCACUGACCAUACGACUGACAGAGUGCGCCGAGGCGACAGUGGUGAUUUUUGAGGCCAGGUCGUGAGAGGCACAGUGACUUCUACCGUGGCCUCGUGGGGCACUCGCUCUGGGGAAGCCGGGUGCCGUGCUGUGAGGACUCAAGCAGCCCUGUGGAGAUGCCCACGGGGGCAGGGCCUCAGAUUUCCUGCCCACGACCAGCCACUUGAGUGAGCCCCAUGGAAAUGACCCUCCACCCACAUGAGCCUGCGAAUGACUGAGGUCUUGACAGUAAUCCCACGUGAAACUUGGGGCCAGAGACAUCAAGACCGACUGCCCCCAAAUUCCUGACCCACAGAGACUGUGAGAGGCGACAGCUGUGUACUGUUCAAGCCGCAGCGUCGGCGGCACUGGGUUAUGGAACAAUAGGGAGCGUGACUAAUACCCGUGCCCCUUACCUGGCACCCUGGACUCCUGUUCCAGCCGCGUCUGGCCCACGCUGGGGAAGCGAGGUCAUCGUGUUUAUUCCUCGGCCUUCAGCUCUGGUCCUGCUCCUCCCGCGUUGCCACAGCCCCCUCUGGGCUGCCCGCGGCCUCCAGGGCUGCAGCUCUGUGUGCCCCCCCCCCCCCCCCCGGUAUUGUUUCUUCCCUUUGCCCUUCAAGCCCAGGCUCCGCACCAGAUCCUGCUGUUGGUUUCCUUAACCCUGACUCAUCUCUGGAACUAGUCCCUUCAUUCUCCUAAAAAUCGUGUGUCUUCUCUUUCCUACCAAGACCCAGGCUGGCACAAAGUUGUCCUGUGGAGAGGACACUUGGAGACGUGAAGGAAGUGAGGGCAGGGGGCUCCCAUGUGUGGGAAGAGUCCUCCAGCAAGUGCAAGACCCCGGGGAGGGAGUGCUUGGCGAGUUGAAAGAGCAGGAGGGGGCCAGCGCCACGGAGCGAAGGCACAGACAGAGUGUCAGGGUGUCAGAGGGAGGCAGGCAGCGCCACACCAGGUGGAGCCCGUGGGUCACACUGUACCUGAGAGCUGUGCAUGCCACGGCGGGCGGGGUGGUCUGAGCCACGCACGGCAUGCUCUCCCGCAUCCUGGGACGGGAUGGAGGGGGUAAGAACGGACUGGGGGACCAGUCAGGAGGCUCCUUGAGAAUCUGGAGAUCAGCGAUGGCUUGGGUAUGGUGGGCGACAAAGGUGGAGGGAGAGAUUGAAUUCAGGAUGCAUUUUGAAACCAGACCUGUAAGGAUUUGCUGCUAAACUGAAUGAGAGAGAAGUAAGAGUGAGGAGGCCUCUAAAGUGAAUGAUGGAUGCUGGAGCCGGCGCCUGAGCCCAGCACAGUGUGUGUGGGGGGGGGGGGCAGUCUGGAGGGAAGGAGGGCGGAAAUCGAGACUUUGCUCAUUUCAUCUUCAAAAGAGGAAAAGAGUAACGUUCUGCUGUUUCAAAAAGAGGAAAACGAGAGGUUUUUUUCUCACUUUACAAAGGAUGCACAUUCACGGAGUGGCGUUCCUAUCUCCUGGCUGUUGGGCUUUGCCGUUGGAAGACUUGAAAUCAGUUGAAAUAUGACUCCCCUCAGCCCAGAAGCAGAUGUGGCCGGAAACAAGACUCAACAGACGCUUCCGUUCCUCUGGGCAGCCCCCCUGCCCCACUUCUUACCAUAGAAGCAGAGCUGUGCGCCCCGCCCCCCGACACCCACUCUCCUUGCACAACGUGGGCACCUGCUUCCCUUUGCAGACCUGCAGCUCCAGAGGCAGCUGAGCAACGUGGCGGAACUUGAGCUCACAGACCUGGGGGAGACCAGGGGCCCUGUGCUGGGGAGGGGCUGCGCCCGGCUGUGGUGUCAGCCAGGUUGUGCAUACCUCGUCCUGCAGCCCGCUUCGGGGGCCAGGACACGGUGUCUUGAUGCCAACAGGCAUUCGUUGUCGCUGUUGUUGUUCUGUUCAGAAGGACCUCUGUCUGCAGCUUCUGUCGGCCUCCGGGAAGGGACACGGCUGCUGCGGGAGGAGGAUGCUCCCUCCCCCUCAGUUGCCAUGGCGACUCUGAGGCCUGAUUUCCUGGUUGCCAUGUAAAUGCAGUGGGAUCCCAGCCACUCGCCACACAAAGACCUCGGAGAGAGCAGCGAGGAAUCAAAAGUCCUGUUUACAAAGACGGAAUUUCAUCUCAAGCCUUUUACUCACAUAAAAGAGAGGAAAGGAGCCACUGUCGUCAGACACGGUGCUCCUUCCGGGGGGCGGACGGAGUGCAUCUCCCCCUCGCUGGAGGGAAGACUGGGAAGAAAAGGGGAAACCCCUCGUUUGUGGGCGAGGAGCUGGCCUGGGGACGGGAAGACAGAAGACUUCUCAGGAGGCCCACUGAGAAAAACUCUGAAAUAUUUAACUGGGGCGGAACAAUUGAGUUGGAUUGAAAACCAAACCAAAAACAUGGAUCUCGUGGACAAUUUUUAGAAUUACUUUUAUUUGUGUAGUUUUAUAAUUUUAGAAUUGAGAUUCCAAAGGCUCUAAUAUUUGCUUGAUGAUCAAUUUUUAUUUCUAUCCAAUAACUCUGAAGAAAUGACAAAAUGCAGUUAUUUCUCUAUUUUUUUAUUGAUUGGUAACACCCUGAUAAAACCGCAUGCCAAAAAUUGACUAAUCCAGAUUUCUAUGGUUUUCAUAGCGUGGGUGUUUUCUGUGUUUAAUAAUAUCUAUAAAAUCACUGGCAUAUAAAAAAUGUAAAAUCUGUAUAUUUUGCAUUGCUGUCUACAUAUAUGCAAACAAAACGUCGAUAACUUA